AUUGAACGCUGGCGGCAGGCCUAACACAUGCAAGUCGAACGGGUGUCGGGCGGGUGAGACAUGUGUGUGAGACUGCCCGAUGGAGGGGGCUACCUACUGUGGACGGUAGCUCAUCCCACGUCCCAUCGGGUGUGCGCAGAUGGAGUUAGCUAGUGGGUGGGGUAACGGCUCACCUAGGCGACGAUCCCUAGCUGGUCUGAGAGGAUGACCAGCCACACUGGAACUGAGACACGGUCCAGACUCCUACGGGAGGCAGCAGUGGGGAAUAUUGCACAAUGGGCGCAAGCCUGAUGCAGCCAUGCCGCGUGUAUGAAGAAGGCCUUCGGGUUGUAAAGUACUUUCAGCGAGGAGGCGUUACUCGCAGAAGAAGCACCGGCUAACUCCGUGCCAGCAGCCGCGGUAAUUC
RNAcentral lists this ribosomal RNA (406 nucleotides) under uncultured bacterium. RNAcentral's name for it is "partial 16S ribosomal RNA". It matches the Rfam family "Bacterial small subunit ribosomal RNA", at positions 30 to 526 of the family's 1533-position model. The record is from RNAcentral.